RNAcentral lists this ribosomal RNA (638 nucleotides) under Escherichia coli. RNAcentral describes it as "bacterial LSU rRNA". It matches the Rfam family "Bacterial large subunit ribosomal RNA", at positions 2263 to 2895 of the family's 2925-position model. The record is from RNAcentral. Lineage: Bacteria; Pseudomonadati; Pseudomonadota; Gammaproteobacteria; Enterobacterales; Enterobacteriaceae.
GGGUAGUUUGACUGGGGCGGUCUCCUCCUAAAGAGUAACGGAGGAGCACGAAGGUUGGCUAAUCCUGGUCGGACAUCAGGAGGUUAGUGCAAUGGCAUAAGCCAGCUUGACUGCGAGCGUGACGGCGCGAGCAGGUGCGAAAGCAGGUCAUAGUGAUCCGGUGGUUCUGAAUGGAAGGGCCAUCGCUCAACGGAUAAAAGGUACUCCGGGGAUAACAGGCUGAUACCGCCCAAGAGUUCAUAUCGACGGCGGUGUUUGGCACCUCGAUGUCGGCUCAUCACAUCCUGGGGCUGAAGUAGGUCCCAAGGGUAUGGCUGUUCGCCAUUUAAAGUGGUACGCGAGCUGGGUUUAGAACGUCGUGAGACAGUUCGGUCCCUAUCUGCCGUGGGCGCUGGAGAACUGAGGGGGGCUGCUCCUAGUACGAGAGGACCGGAGUGGACGCAUCACUGGUGUUCGGGUUGUCAUGCCAAUGGCACUGCCCGGUAGCUAAAUGCGGAAGAGAUAAGUGCUGAAAGCAUCUAAGCACGAAACUUGCCCCGAGAUGAGUUCUCCCUGACUCCUUGAGAGUCCUGAAGGAACGUUGAAGACGACGACGUUGAUAGGCCGGGUGUGUAAGCGCAGCGAUGCGUUGAGCUAAC